AGUGAACGCUGGCGGUAGGCCUAACACAUGCAAGUCGAACGGCAGCACAGUAAGAGCUUGCUCUUACGGGUGGCGAGUGGCGGACGGGUGAGGAAUACAUCGGAAUCUACUUUUUCGUGGGUGAUAACGUAGGGACACUUACGCUAAUACCGCAUACUACCUACGGGUGAAAGCAGGGGAUCUUCGGACUUUGCGCGAUUGAAUGAGAUGAUGUCGGAUUAGCUAGUUGGCGGGGUAAAGGCCCACCAAGGCGACGAUACGUAGCUGGUCUGAGAGGAUGAUCAGCCACACUGGAACUGAGACACGGUCCAGACUCCUACGGGAGGCAGCAGUGGGGAAUAUUGGACAAUGGGCGCAAGCCUGAUCCAGCCAUACCGCGUGGGUGAAGAAGGCCUUCGGGUUGUAAAGCCCUUUUGUUGGGAAAGAAAAGCAGCAGGUUAAUACCCCGCUGUUCUGACGGUACCCAAAGAAUAAGCACCGGCUAACUUCGUG
This 492-nucleotide ribosomal RNA is filed under the name uncultured bacterium. RNAcentral describes it as "partial 16S ribosomal RNA". It matches the Rfam family "Bacterial small subunit ribosomal RNA", at positions 29 to 507 of the family's 1533-position model. The record is from RNAcentral.